AGAGUUUGAUCAUGGCUCAGGACGAACGCUGGCGGCGUGCCUAAUACAUGCAAGUCGAGCGGACCGACGGGAGCUUGCUCCCUUAGGUCAGCGGCGGACGGGUGAGUAACACGUGGGUAACCUGCCUGUAAGACUGGGAUAACUCCGGGAAACCGGGGCUAAUACCGGAUGCUUGAUUGAGCCGCAUGGUUCAAUUAUAAAAGGUGGCUUUCAGCUACCACUUACAGAUGGACCCGCGGCGCAUUAGCUAGUUGGUGAGGUAACGGCUCACCAAGGCGACGAUGCGUAGCCGACCCUGAGAGGGUGAUCGGCCACAACUGGGACUGAGACACGGCCCAGACUCCUACGGGAGGCAGCAGUAGGGAAUCUUCCGCAAUGGACGAAAGUCUGACGGAGCAACGCCGCGUGAGUGAUGAAGGUUUUCGGAUCGUAAAACUCUGUUGUUAGGGAAGAACAAGUACCGUUCGAAUAGGGCGGUACCUUGACGGUACCUAACCAGAAAGCCACGGCUAACUACGUGCCAGCAGCCGCGGUAAUACGUAGGUGGCAAGCGUUGUCCGGAAUUAUUGGGCGUAAAGCGCGCGCAGGCGGUUUCUUAAGUCUGAUGUGAAAGCCCCCGGCUCAACCGGGGAGGGUCAUUGGAAACUGGGGAACUUGAGUGCAGAAGAGGAGAGUGGAAUUCCACGUGUAGCGGUGAAAUGCGUAGAGAUGUGGAGGAACACCAGUGGCGAAGGCGACUCUCUGGUCUGUAACUGACGCUGAGGCGCGAAAGCGUGGGGAGCGAACAGGAUUAGAUACCCUGGUAGUCCACGCCGUAAACGAUGAGUGCUAAGUGUUAGAGGGUUUCCGCCCUUUAGUGCUGCAGCAAACGCAUUAAGCACUCCGCCUGGGGAGUACGGUCGCAAGACUGAAACUCAAAGGAAUUGACGGGGGCCCGCACAAG
Molecule: ribosomal RNA, 943 nt
Filed under: Bacillus licheniformis
Lineage: Bacteria; Bacillati; Bacillota; Bacilli; Caryophanales; Bacillaceae
Description: bacterial SSU rRNA
Rfam family: Bacterial small subunit ribosomal RNA
Source: RNAcentral